Molecule: transfer RNA, 72 nt
Filed under: bacterium
Lineage: Bacteria
Also listed under: 4 other names
Description: tRNA-Met
Rfam family: tRNA
About the family: Transfer RNA (tRNA) molecules are approximately 80 nucleotides in length.
Source: RNAcentral
CCCGGGGUGGAGCAGAGGUAGCUCGCCAGGCUCAUAACCUGGAGGUCAUAGGUUCAAAUCCUGUCCCCGGAA